Camellia sinensis is the source of this 1788-nucleotide long non-coding RNA. RefSeq lists it as uncharacterized. NCBI's taxonomy places the organism in Eukaryota, Viridiplantae, Streptophyta, Magnoliopsida, Ericales, Theaceae. The record is from RefSeq and is a predicted model, not a curated record.
ACCAGCGCCUCUUUCAGCGUCUCUCUCCCUCUCCGCUGCUCCUCUCCCCUCCCUCUCCCUCUCCCCUCUGUCUCCGAUGUUUCUCUCCCCUCCCCUCUUUCACCGCCACUCCACUAGCCACGAAACAGCUCUCCUCCGCUACUCCUCCUCGCGUUCGUGGGCAAGCGGAGCACCGAUUCACCUCUUUGUUGGUCAUCGUCGCCUGAGAUCCAUCAUCCACAGAAACUCGAUCGGCAGCUCCUCCCUCACACAUUGCAGAGACAUAACACAACACUGUAAUGCUCAUCAAUGCUGACCCAAGUUUUCGACACUGCCAGUUCAUUCUAACCUAGUCAAAAACAAUGGAAGAUGUGACUGAUACUGAUGCUUCCUUUUCCUACAUUCAGAAUUUGGGUUUUUUUAUUGCAAGGUUUUGCCCAUCCCAUGCUUAUCUCUCAGGAUGUUUCAGAGGCAAAUAAAUUUGUAAAGGAGACAAACAAUUUGAAACCUAUAGGUACCAGCAUGUAUGUGCUUUUUCUGCUGUAUGAUUUAUGAUUUUUUCACUUUUUGUGAGUUAUAACUGCAUUGCAUAAUUUUAUCUGAUGUAUAGCUUAAACACAUUAUUCAUGUCAUAGUCAUAUCAAUCUGGUAUGCAUUUGGAUCAUGCCAUUGGUAUCAAAGACCAAUAUGAAUAGUUAUGUUAUAGUCUUGUAUGGUUACAUUGCUCCUCUGAAGUUGUAAGGUUAAAUUUGUGUGAUGUGCCCAUACACCACAUUUGCUUACUGAAUCAUUAAUCAUAUAUGCAUUUGUGUUUGCGUGAGUGCAUAUUAAGCUUUUAUGAUGUGCCUAUGUAUAUAAUACUCUGUAAAUGUUCUCUUGACUUGAAAGUGGAUAAUCACGUGAGUACUUUUUCUAUUUCAGCAACAUUUUUAUUAGACAUCUGUUGGAGAAGUGUCCAAAGAGUGUCGGUGUCCGACAUGGACACGACACGGAUACAUCACCUUCUUAGAAGUGUCCGUACUUCUUAGCUAAAUAGUCAUACUUGUAUCUUGAAACAUCAUCAAGAUACCACCAAUUGAAUAAAUUGGAACUUCAAAAUGGUACACUAUUUUCAACAUCUAAGAGAGAUGUUAAUAUCAAUGAGAUAUAUUUUUUUGGGCUAAUAUUUCACGUUUUAGUUAUGUGCCAGCAUGAAUUUGCGAUUCCUCUGGUUCUGUUUUUGUUAUCUUUUCUCCUUUUUCCUUGCUUUGUUUAUAGUUCAAGCUCAUAAUCCUAGAGCGAACUUGGAUAGUUAUAAGUGAUGGACUUGAAGAAUUGAGUUCGAUAAAUUAUGAUGCGGUCUAUAUAGAACCUGGGUUGCUAACCACUUUAGGACAGAAUUUGAGACAUUUGAGGAAGUUGGACUUGUCUUAUAAUGAAAACUUAGUCAAUAAGGAGCUCACAUCAGUUGAGGGGCUGUAAAGGAUUGACAAACGUAGCCAUAGUUUUGAUGUUCAAAAGCUAUAAGCAUUUGGAGAUUGUCCAUAUAAUGCAUUGCUGUGGAAUUAACACUGAGGCUGUUGAGUUAUGUCUUCUGAAUUGUCGACAAUUGAGGCAGGUACAGGUUGAGGAAAGCAAGCUUUCGGAUGCUCCCAUUACUCUUUCAUGGGUAAAUUGUAAAUGUUUCUAAUUUAUGUGUGAGAUAGAAUGAGCACUUUCAUCUGCUCCGUCAAGAAAAAUGGUUGUACCAAUGUUUGAUUCUCCAAUAAUGUACACACAACAUCAUUUAAAUAAAAAAACAUUUCCUUAUUUGCUAUGAUUUAUAAAGCA